UUAAGCAUAUCAAUAAGCGGAGGAAAAGAAACCAACAGGGAUUGCCCUAGUAACGGCGAGUGAAGCGGCAACAGCUCAAAUUUGAAAUCUGGCCCUUGGGUCCGAAUUGUAAUUUGUAGAGGAUGAUUUUGGUGCGGUAUCUUCCGAGUUCCUUGGAACAGGACGCCUUAGAGGGUGAGAGCCCCGUACGGUUGAAUGCCUAGCCUCUGUAAAUCUCCUUCGACGAGUCGAGUAGUUUGGGAAUGCUGCUCUAAAUGGGAGGUAAAUUUCUUCUAAAGCUAAAUACUGGCCAGAGACCGAUAGCGCACAAGUAGAGUGAUCGAAAGAUGAAAAGCACUUUGAAAAGAGGGUUAAAUAGCACGUGAAAUUGUUGAAAGGGAAGGAUUUAUGACCAGACUUUUUCUGGGCGGAUCAUCCGGUGUUCUCACCGGUGCACUUUGCCCAGUUUAGGCCAGCAUCGAUUUUCGGAGAGGGAUAAAAGCUUUGGGAAUGUGGCUCCUCCGGGAGUGUUAUAGCCCAUUGUAUAAUACCUCUCUGGGGAUCGAGGUACGCGCUUCUGCAAGGAUGCUGGCGUAAUGGUUAUCAAUCACCCGUCUUGAAACACGGACCAAGGAGUCGAACAUUUGUGCAAGUGUUUGGGUGUUAAACCCUCACGCGUAAUGAAAGUGAACGGAGGUGAGAGCCCUUACGGGUGCAUCAUCGACCGAUCCUGAAGUUUUCGGAUGGAUUUGAGUAAGAGCAUAACUGUUCGGACCCGAAAGAUGGUGAACUAUGCGUGGAUAGGGUGAAGCCAGAGGAAACUCUGGUGGAGGCUCGCAGCGGUUCUGACGUGCAAAUCGAUCGUCAAAUCUGCGCAUGGGGGCGAAAGACUAAUCGAACCAUCUAGUAGCUGGUUACCGC
Molecule: ribosomal RNA, 900 nt
Filed under: Seiridium syzygii
Lineage: Eukaryota; Fungi; Ascomycota; Sordariomycetes; Amphisphaeriales; Sporocadaceae
Description: partial large subunit ribosomal RNA
Rfam family: Eukaryotic large subunit ribosomal RNA
Source: RNAcentral